AUAUGCAAUCAAAUAAAAUUGGAAUUGGAAUGAUAUGGAGAAGAUUAACAAUGCCCUUGCACAAAGAUGAUGCGCACGAACCAAUAAAUAAUCCAAAAAUAC
Cucurbita pepo subsp. pepo (vegetable marrow) is the source of this 102-nucleotide small nuclear RNA. NCBI's taxonomy places the organism in Eukaryota, Viridiplantae, Streptophyta, Magnoliopsida, Cucurbitales, Cucurbitaceae. The record is from RefSeq and is a predicted model, not a curated record.